UGUGUAGGCGGUUCUUUAAGUUUGUUGUGAAAUCUCCCGGCUUAACCGGGAGGGUGCGGCGAAUACUGAGGGACUAGAGUACGGGAGAGGAAAGUGGAAUUCCUGGUGUAGCGGUGAAAUGCGUAGAUAUCAGGAGGAACACCGGUGGUGUAGACGGCUUUCUGGACCGACACUGACGCUGAGACACGAAAGCGUGGGUAGCAAACAGGAUUAGAUACCCUGGUAGUCCACGCCCUAAACGAUGCAUAUUUGGUGUGGGCAGUUCAUUCUGUCCGUGCCCGGAGCUAACGCGUUAAAUAUGCCGCCUGGGGAUACAGUCGCAAGGCUGAA
This 330-nucleotide ribosomal RNA is filed under the name uncultured bacterium. RNAcentral describes it as "bacterial SSU rRNA". It matches the Rfam family "Bacterial small subunit ribosomal RNA", at positions 568 to 898 of the family's 1533-position model. The record is from RNAcentral.